UGGCUGUCGUCAGCUCGUGUUGUGAAAUGUUGGGUUAAGUCCCGCAACGAGCGCAACCCUUAAGCUUAGUUGCCAUCAUUAAGUUGGGCACUCUAAGUUGACUGCCGGUGACAAACCGGAGGAAGGUGGGGAUGACGUCAAGUCCUCAUGGCCCUUACGGGUUGGGCUACACACGUGCUACAAUGGUCGGUACAGAGGGUUGCCAAGCCGCGAGGUGGAGCUAAUCCCAUAAAACCGAUCGUAGUCCGGAUCGCAGUCUGCAACUCGACUGCGUGAAGUCGGAAUCGCUAGUAAUCGCGAAUCAGAAUGUCGCGGUGAAUACGUUCCCGGGCCUUGUACACACCGCCCGUCACACCAUGGGAGUGGGUUGCACCAG
RNAcentral lists this ribosomal RNA (376 nucleotides) under Chaetoceros curvisetus. RNAcentral describes it as "partial Bacterial small subunit ribosomal RNA". It matches the Rfam family "Bacterial small subunit ribosomal RNA", at positions 1046 to 1423 of the family's 1533-position model. Lineage: Eukaryota; Bacillariophyta; Thalassiosirophyceae; Chaetocerotales; Chaetocerotaceae. The record is from RNAcentral.